GAUGAACGCUGGCGGCGCGCCUAAUACAUGCAAGUCGAGCGAGAAGACGUAGCAAUACGUUUGUAAAGCGGCGAACGGGUGAGGAAUACAUGGGUAACCUACCCUCGAGUGGGGAAUAACUAGCCGAAAGGUUAGCUAAUAUCGCGUACGCUUCUUGGACUUCGGUUCAGGGAGGAAAGCGAUACCGUGGGUAUCGCGCUCUUGGAUGGGCUCAUGUCCUAUCAGCUUGNGGUGAGGUAACGGCUCACCAAGGCUUUGACGGGUAGCUGGUCUGAGAGGACGAUCAGCCACACUGGCACUGCGACACGGGCCAGGCUCCUACGGGAGGCAGCAGUAAGGAAUAUUGCGCAAUGGGCGAAAGCCUGACGCAGCGACGCCGCGUGGGGGAGU
RNAcentral lists this ribosomal RNA (390 nucleotides) under uncultured bacterium. RNAcentral describes it as "bacterial SSU rRNA". It matches the Rfam family "Bacterial small subunit ribosomal RNA", at positions 28 to 410 of the family's 1533-position model. The record is from RNAcentral.